GAUGAACGCUGGCGGCGUGCUUAACACAUGCAAGUCGAACGGAAGUUUUAAAAGGAAGUUUUCGGAUGGAAUUUUAAAACUUUAGUGGCGGACGGGUGAGUAACGCGUGGGUAACCUGCCGUAUACAGGGGGAUAACACUUAGAAAUAGGUGCUAAUACCGCAUAAGCGCACAGCAUCGCAUGAUGCAGUGUGAAAAGCUCCGACGGUAUACGAUGGACCCGCGUCUGAUUAGCUAGUUGGUGAGGUAGAGGCUCACCAAGGCGACGAUCAGUAGCCGGCCUGAGAGGGUGACCGGCCACAUUGGGACUGAGACACGGCCCAAACUCCUACGGGAGGCAGCAGUGGGGAAUAUUGCACAAUGGGGGAAACCCUGAUGCAGCGACGCCGCGUGAGUGAAGAAGUAUUUCGGUAUGUAAAGCUCUAUCAGCAGGGAGAAAAUGACGGUACCUGACUAAGAAGCCCCGGCUAACUACGUG
RNAcentral lists this ribosomal RNA (477 nucleotides) under uncultured bacterium. RNAcentral describes it as "bacterial SSU rRNA". It matches the Rfam family "Bacterial small subunit ribosomal RNA", at positions 28 to 507 of the family's 1533-position model. The record is from RNAcentral.